GGCUCAGGAAUGAACGCUGGCGGCGUGCUUAACACAUGCAAGUCGAACGAUGACCCCGGUGCUUGCAUCGGUGAUUAGUGGCGAACGGGUGAGUAACACGUGAGUAACCUGCCCCUUAACUCUGGGAUAAGCCUGGGAAACUGGGUCUAAUACCGGAUAAUGACUCCCUUCAUCGCAUGGUGGGGGGUGGAAAGCUUUUUUGUGGUUUUUGGAUGGACUCGCGGCCUAUCAGCUUGUUGGUGAGGUAAUGGCUUACCAAGGCGACGACGGGUAGCCGGCCUGAGAGGGUGACCGGCCACACUGGGACUGAGACACGGCCCAGACUCCUACGGGAGGCAGCAGUGGGGUAUAUUGCACAAUGGGCGGAAGCCUGAUGCAGCGACGCCGCGCGAGGGAUGACGGCCUUCGGGUUGUAAACCUCUUUCAGUAGGGAAGAAGCGUUAAGUGACGGUACCUGCAGAAGAAGCGCCGGCUAACUACGUGCCAGCAGCCGCGGUUAAUACGUAGGGUCGCAAGCGUUUAUCCGGAAUUAUUGGGCGUAAAGAGCUCGUAGGCGGUUUGUCGCCGUCUGCCGCUGAAAGUCCGGGGCUCAACCUCCGGGAUCUGCGGUGGGUACGGGCAGACUAGAGUGAUGUAGGGGAGACUGGAAUUCCUGGCUGUAGCGCGUGAAAUGCGCAGCAUAUCAGGAGGAACACCGAUGGCGAAGGCACGGUCUUCUGGGCAUUAACUGACGCUGAGGAGCGAAAGCAUGGGGAGCGAACAGGAUUAGAUACCCUGGUAGUCCAUGCCGUAAACGUUGGGCACUAGGUGUGGGGGACAUUCCACGUUUUCCGCGCCGUAGCU
RNAcentral lists this ribosomal RNA (843 nucleotides) under uncultured bacterium. RNAcentral's name for it is "bacterial SSU rRNA". It matches the Rfam family "Bacterial small subunit ribosomal RNA", at positions 21 to 853 of the family's 1533-position model. The record is from RNAcentral.